ACGCUCGACACCUACGGGAGCAGCAGUGGGGAAUAUUGCACAAUGGGCGAAAGCCUGAUGCAGCAACGCCGCGUGAGCGAAGAAGGCCUUGGUCGUAAGCUCUGUCCUCAAGGAAGAUAAUGACGGUACUUGAGGAGGAAGCCCGGCUAACUACGUGCCAGNACGCGGUACGUAUNGNGGCGGNGNGAGAG
Molecule: ribosomal RNA, 191 nt
Filed under: uncultured bacterium
Lineage: Bacteria
Description: partial 16S ribosomal RNA
Rfam family: Bacterial small subunit ribosomal RNA
Source: RNAcentral